Molecule: ribosomal RNA, 497 nt
Filed under: uncultured bacterium
Lineage: Bacteria
Description: partial 16S ribosomal RNA
Rfam family: Bacterial small subunit ribosomal RNA
Source: RNAcentral
GAUGAACGCUGGCGGCGUGCCUAAUACAUGCAAGUCGAGCGAACGGACGAGAAGCUUGCUUCUCUGAUGUUAGCGGCGGACGGGUGAGUAACACGUGGAUAACCUACCUAUAAGACUGGGAUAACUUCGGGAAACCGGAGCUAAUACCGGAUGAUAUUUUGAACCGCAUGGUUCAAUAGUGAAAGACGGUCUUGCUGUCACUUAUAGAUGGAUCCGCGCUGCAUUAGCUAGUUGGUAAGGUAACGGCUUACCAAGGCAACGAUGCAUAGCCGACCUGAGAGGGUGAUCGGCCACACUGGAACUGAGACACGGUCCAGACUCCUACGGGAGGCAGCAGUAGGGAAUCUUCCGCAAUGGGCGAAAGCCUGACGGAGCAACGCCGCGUGAGUGAUGAAGGUCUUCGGAUCGUAAAACUCUGUUAUUAGGGAAGAACAUAUGUGGAAGUAACUGUGCACAUCUUGACGGUACCUAAUCAGAAAGCCACGGCUAACUACGUG